RNAcentral lists this ribosomal RNA (423 nucleotides) under uncultured bacterium. Its description in RNAcentral is "bacterial SSU rRNA". It matches the Rfam family "Bacterial small subunit ribosomal RNA", at positions 362 to 776 of the family's 1533-position model. The record is from RNAcentral.
UCUUCCGCAAUGGACGAAAGUCUGACGGAGCAACGCCGCGUGAGUGAUGAAGGCUUUCGGGUCGUAAAACUCUGUUGUUAGGGAAGAACAAGUGCUAGUUGAAUAAGCUGGCACCUUGACGGUACCUAACCAGAAAGCCACGGCUAACUACGUGCCAGCAGCCGCGGUAAUACGUAGGUGGCAAGCGUUAUCCGGAAUUAUUGGGCGGAAAGCGCGCGGAGGGUGUUUCUUAAGUUUGAUGUGAAAGCCCACGGCUCAACCGUGGAGGGGCCUUGGAAACUGGGAGGCUUGAGUGCAGAAGAGGAAAGUGGAAUUCCAUGUGUAGCGGUGAAAUGCGUAGAGAUAUGGAGGAACACCAGUGGCGAAGGCGACUUUCUGGUCUGUAACUGACACUGAGGCGCGAAAGCGUGGGGAGCAAACAGG